GAUGAACGCUGGCGGCGUGCCUAAUACAUGCAAGUCGAGCGAACAGACGAGGAGCUUGCUCCUCUGACGUUAGCGGCGGACGGGUGAGUAACACGUGGAUAACCUACCUAUAAGACUGGGAUAACUUCGGGAAACCGGAGCUAAUACCGGAUAAUAUAUUGAACCGCAUGGUUCAAUAGUGAAAGACGGUUUUGCUGUCACUUAUAGAUGGAUCCGCGCCGCAUUAGCUAGUUGGUAAGGUAACGGCUUACCAAGGCAACGAUGCGUAGCCGACCUGAGAGGGUGAUCGGCCACACUGGAACUGAGACACGGUCCAGACUCCUACGGGAGGCAGCGGUAGGGAAUCUUCCGCAAUGGGCGAGAGCCUGACGGAGCAACGCCGCGUGAGUGAUGAAGGUCUUCGGAUCGUAAAACUCUGUUAUUAGGGAAGAACAAAUGUGUAAGUAACUAUGCACGUCUUGACGGUACCUAAUCAGAAAGCCACGGCUAACUACGUG
Molecule: ribosomal RNA, 497 nt
Filed under: uncultured bacterium
Lineage: Bacteria
Description: partial 16S ribosomal RNA
Rfam family: Bacterial small subunit ribosomal RNA
Source: RNAcentral